RNAcentral lists this ribosomal RNA (63 nucleotides) under Hematodinium sp. Its description in RNAcentral is "partial large subunit ribosomal RNA". Lineage: Eukaryota; Dinophyceae; Syndiniales; Syndiniaceae. The record is from RNAcentral.
GACACUAGGUAUUAAACCAUAGAGUUGAGAUGGUGACAGCCUGAAAGAAUUGAAUAUGCCCCC